This 1653-nucleotide unclassified non-coding RNA is filed under the name Hevea brasiliensis (rubber tree). The record is from RNAcentral. Lineage: Eukaryota; Viridiplantae; Streptophyta; Magnoliopsida; Malpighiales; Euphorbiaceae.
GAGAGAAGUAAGGAAAUUGCCCUUUUUUUGUACGGUCUAGUCCAACUGUACAGGAGCACACGUUACAUUUUGUUAAACAAUAUCCAAGUUAGAAAAUUAAGUGUCAAGAUUAUGUCGUGUCUAUACAGAACUAAUUACGCAGGAUUACUUGGUUCCCUUGGUAUAUUUGAGUGAAAGACGGACAAAAUGAUAUUCUUGUGCAUACCUCCAAAAGCAAUGUCCCCUUCAAUAUUUUGCUUCCUGGUGCAAAACUUAUUUGUUUCACAACAUGGUUACAGCAACUGUACAAAUGUAUUUAACUGUACUUCAAUUGAAUCAAACAGCCUACAGAAGCACCAAAAACUGAGUUAUAAUCUCUGAUCAUAAAUUCAAUGCAUGAACUGUAUAAUAAUUUAACUGCCAAGACUCAUGCCACAUUACCAUGGUGACUGAUGUCAUCUUCAACGGCCAAAUGUACAACAGUUUGUAAAAUCCAAUACCAACAGGAUGUAAAAGGAUUUCUGGCAGAUCCACAUCAAGGAAUUAACAAGCAUUCUGAAGAAUCACUAGAACAGGACAUUUAUCUCCAUGAAUCUGUUUAAUAUCAACUCAGUUCAAAGCAUGACCAAUCAAAUUUUCAUCUCCUCCCUAUCUUGAUGAGACUUUAAAUUUAUCCACUUGUUGAAUAUGGAGCUUAAACUGGUCAACCAAGGUAUGCAAAAAAAGUGAGGCCUCAGAAGUUUGCCCUUGGAAGAGGAACUGAUCCAAUUUCUCUGAGUACCUGACAGCAAUUUGGAGUUCCUGUUCAUUCAAAUUGCAGGGCAUAACAUUGCUCCAGUCAUGCAAUCUUCCUUCCAAGCAAAGACCAUGUACCAAUGCGACAAAAGAAACAGGAUCAGGAGAGAAACCCUUGUUCAUCAUUUUAUCACGCAACUGCAAAGCAGUUUUCACCAUUCUAUGUUGGCAAAGGCAGAUGAGGAUAGAAUUAUAGGCAGCAGUCCUCUGAUCCCAUCCAUCUGAUGUCAUCAUUCGAAAAAAUUCCAGGACUAAAGAAUUCCCAUUCUGUUGAGACUCAAUUAUUUUGUCAGAAGUUGUAAUUCCAGUGUUAUGUGUUAAGCCAUUUAUCAGAUAGUUGAAGGUAACAUCAUUAGGAAUACAUUUGUUUAUCAACAUUAGUUCAAAAAAGGAGCAAGCUUUUAAAAGUUUACCCUCCUUACAAAAGCAACCAAUAAGUAUAGUGUAUGUUACCACAUUAGGCUCCAAUCCACAAGAUCGCAUCUCUUCAAAAGUUGUUUCAGCCAUAUUGAAGUCUCCACUGCGACAAAAUCCAUUAAUUAGAGAUGUAUAAGUUACAACAUUUGGUUUGCAUGUCCUUUUCACCAUCAGCCCAAAUAUUCUCAGUGCUCCAUGCAAGUUGUUCUGCUUUACAUACCCAUCUAUGAUUGUGGAAUACGUGAAUUGAUCUGGAGAAUGAACCUCUUCUAUCAUUCUUUUAAAGCAUAGCAGUGCAUCGUUCAUCCUUCCAGAUUUGCAAUAACCCUUAAUCAUGGCAUUAUAACCAACAAUGCCAGGAUCUAUACCCUUUUCAAUUGUGAGCUCAAAGAGCUUUUUGGCCUCAUCAAGAUCACCAUGUCUUACAAAUCCAUCAAUCAAAGUGGCAUUAACAAAUGCAUC